This 808-nucleotide long non-coding RNA is filed under the name Fukomys damarensis (Damara mole-rat). RNAcentral's name for it is "lncRNA (ENSFDAG00000024108.1)". The record is from RNAcentral. Lineage: Eukaryota; Metazoa; Chordata; Mammalia; Rodentia; Bathyergidae.
UAAUUGAUUUGUUGGUGAUUUUUUUUCCAUUUUACUGACUUUCCGGGUGGGUGGGCCAAUGUUCAUGUCUGUGCUUUUCUUUUGCUUUGUUAUUUCUAUGUGUGUUUUUUGAUGAUCCAUUAUUUUUCUUUAUCUAUCUAUGUAGCAAGAAUCAACAGUGUCACUGUUUAGAAAAGCAGCAGAGGGUAAAGGCAGAGGGUGCAAAGAGCAUAAAAGUGAUGUGUCGUUGCCACCGGGAUUAAGAAAAGAUGACGAAUCACCUUGGGAUUCAGAGGUACUCUCUAUUUUUUAUAAUAUUUUUUAAUAAGCAUUAAAUAAUAAAUAAGAUUUAAAUGUAGAGGAGAAUAAUUGGACUUUACUAGCUCACCUCUGCAUAUGCCUGUAAGAAAUCAUUUCCUCGUGUUUUUUCAACCAUAGGCAAUAAAAUAAUCUCUCAGACAAACUGAUGUAUGUCUAAAAUCCCAGCACUCUGGGAGGCUGAAGCAGGAGGAUUACAUUGUCGAAUCCUAGACAACGUAGCAAUUUACUCUUGCAAAAAGUAAAGAGCAUUAGGGUUGUAUCUCUGUAUGAAGACCCUGGGUUUAAUCCUCAUCCUAUAGAUGAAGGAAUGGAUGAAGUCUAUGUAUGUUACUGCUACAUAGUACGUUUCUGCUAAUGUGUAGGAUUCAUUUAAUGAAGCCAGGGCAGUUAAAAAUUAAGUCUUAGAUUUCACAAACAGUCAGCUUGCAUUCUGAAAUUAAGUUGAUCUAAAAGCUAAAGAAUUACUCUUGGUCAGCCUCUGGCCAAUGAAAUUCAGAGACAAUGUUUA